Molecule: ribosomal RNA, 1521 nt
Filed under: uncultured Florideophyceae
Lineage: Eukaryota; Rhodophyta; Florideophyceae
Description: SSU rRNA
Rfam family: Eukaryotic small subunit ribosomal RNA
Source: RNAcentral
CGUUCAAAUAUCUGACCUAUCAACUUUCGAUGGUAAGGUAGUGUCUUACCAUGGUGGUGACGGGUAACGGACCGUGGGUGCGGGACUCCGGAGAGGGAGCCUGAGAAACGGCUACCACAUCCAAGGAAGGCAGCAGGCGCGCAAAUUACCCAAUCCGGACAUCGGGAGGUAGUGACAAGAAAUAUCAAUAGGGGACCUGAUGGGUCUUCUAAUUGGAAUGAGAACAUGGUAAACAGCUUAACGAGGAUCCAGCAGAGGGCAAGUCUGGUGCCAGCAGCCGCGGUAAUUCCAGCUCUGUAAGCGUAUACCAAAGUUGUUGCAGUUAAAACGCUCGUAGUCGGAUUUUGGUGGUCUCGCAGGGACGCGCGUUGAGCGUGGGCCUGUCGGGGCUGCUUUUGUGGAGGACGUGCACAGGCGGCUUUACUGUCGCUUGUGUUUAGGGGGCAGGAGGUCAGUGCCUUUCGGGGUUGUUGGCUUUUCUUGUCUUCUUUUGCGUCACCACCAUUUACUGUGAAAAAAUUAGAGUGUUCAAAGCAGGCGUUUGCCAUGAAUACAUUAGCAUGGAAUAAUGGAAUAGGACUUGGAUCCUAUUUUGUUGGUUUGUGAGGGCCAAGUAAUGAUUAAGAGGGACAGUUGGGGGCAUUUGUAUUCCGGCGCUAGAGGUGAAAUUCUUAGAUUGCCGGAAGACAAACCGCUGCGAAAGCGUCUGCCAAGGAUGUUUUCAUUGAUCAAGAACGAAAGUAAGGGGAUCGAAGACGAUCAGAUACCGUCGUAGUCUUUACUAUAAACGAUGAGGACUGGGGAUCGGGCGUGGAAUCACGAUGACCCGCCCGGCACCCUCCGGGAAACCAAAGUGUUUGCUUUCUGGGGGGAGUAUGGUCGCAAGGCUGAAACUUAAAGGAAUUGACGGAAGGGCAUCACCGGGUGUGGAGCCUGCGGCUUAAUUUGACUCAACACGGGAAAACUUACCAGGUCAGGACAUAGUGAGGAUUGACAGAUUGAGAGCUCUUUCAUGAUUCUAUGGUUGGUGGUGCAUGGCCGUUCUUAGUUGGUGGAGUGAUUUGUCUGGUUAAUUCCGUUAACGAGCGAGACCUGGGCGUGCUAACUAGGGGCUACUACCAUUUUUUUGCGGUAGUGAGUUUUUUUUUUCAACCCCUUCUUAGACGGACUGCGGGCGUCUAGUCCGCGGAAGCUCCAGGCAAUAACAGGUCUGAGAUGCCCUUAGAUGUUCUGGGCCGCACGCGUGCUACACUGAGCGGGUCAGCGGGUGCGGAUGCGCGAAAGCGUUUCCUAAUCCCCAAAUCCGCUCGUGAUGGGGAUAGACGGUUGCAAUUUUCCGUCUUGAACGAGGAAUACCUUGUAAGCGUGGGUCAUCAUCCCACGCUGAAUACGUCCCUGCCCUUUGUACACACCGCCCGUCGCUCCUACCGAUUGAGUGGUCCGGUGAGAUCCUGGGAUUGAUAUGAGGGGAGCGUUUACGCUCGUUUCGUGUCGGAAACUUGCUCGAACCUUAUCACUUAA